AUGAAAGGAGAGAUCAGCAAGACAUACCUGAUGAAAAACCUUUCUGGUAUCUUCUGCAAAAACAAACAAUGGACAUGGCAAAUCAGGCCACUGUCAGAAAAGAAGUUCCUGGUUAGACCCCCCUGGAAAGAUGUUGAUGAAUUGAUUGAGUUCCUUGCUUUUGAUCUACCCAUUGAUGGUGUCUCUGUGUCUGUGGAAAAAUGGACUGGCUCAAUUGACCCAUUCAGUGAACUUACUGAAGCCUGGGUGAUUGUUGAGGGGCUGUCCUCUAAAUGGUGUACAUGGAAAGUGCUAUCUCAAAUAGCCUCAUGCUUUGGAAUUCUUGUAGAUGUCGACUGGAAUGGCCUGAUGAAGAGCUUCUAUGAGAAAGUGAGGAUCAAAAUUGCCUGCAGAGGCCCAACAAAAAUCCCCUUUGAAAGAAUUAUGGAGAUGAGGAAAAAACUGUAUAUCCUAUCCUUCACUGUGGAGGGCUUUGACCAGGUGGGUGCUGAUGACCCCAAUGAUGAUGAUGGCCCCACUGAUAUAACAAUAGAUGAGGACAACAAG
RNAcentral lists this ribosomal RNA (546 nucleotides) under Triticum aestivum (bread wheat). Its description in RNAcentral is "partial small subunit ribosomal RNA". Lineage: Eukaryota; Viridiplantae; Streptophyta; Magnoliopsida; Poales; Poaceae. The record is from RNAcentral.